RNAcentral lists this unclassified non-coding RNA (313 nucleotides) under uncultured fungus. RNAcentral describes it as "partial contains 5.8S ribosomal RNA, internal transcribed spacer 2, and large subunit ribosomal RNA". Lineage: Eukaryota; Fungi. The record is from RNAcentral.
AACGCACAUUGCGCUUCCUGGUAUUCCGGGGAGCAUGCUCGUUUCAGAAUCAUUUUAAACUCAUCAAACUUUGGUGUUGGCCUAGCUAUAACCAAGGCGCGAUGGAUUUGGGCAUGCUUGCAGAGUGCUUGCACUUUUCAAUGGCCUUAAAACGAUUUGCAAGUGUAUGUCCUACACGUUGAAUGCGCAACAGAUUUUUUUGUACACAUUCAGCUUGUCAGGGUUUGCGGUUGCCUCCAAUUUGCAUACAGGCACCUUUCGGGGUGCUUGCAAACUUGGUCUGAAAUCGAGCAAGAAAACCCGCUGAACUUAA